Molecule: ribosomal RNA, 800 nt
Filed under: uncultured bacterium
Lineage: Bacteria
Description: bacterial SSU rRNA
Rfam family: Bacterial small subunit ribosomal RNA
Source: RNAcentral
AUUAAUACCUCAUGGUAUUAUGAAUUGGCAUCAUUUUAUAAUUAAAGAUUUAUCGGUGAAAGAUGAGCAUGCGUCCCAUUAGCUAGUUGGUAUGGUAACGGCAUACCAAGGCGACGAUGGGUAGGGGUCCUGAGAGGGAGAUCCCCCACACUGGUACUGAGACACGGACCAGACUCCUACGGGAGGCAGCAGUGAGGAAUAUUGGUCGAUGGACGCAAGUCUGAACCAGCCAUGCCGCGUGCAGGAUGACGGUCCUAUGGAUUGUAAACUGCUUUUGUACGAGAAGAAACACUCCUUCGUGAAGGAGCUUGACGGUAUCGUAAGAAUAAGGAUCGGCUAACUCCGUGCCAGCAGCCGCGGUAAUACGGAGGAUCCAAGCGUUAUCCGGAAUCAUUGGGUUUAAAGGGUCCGUAGGCGGUUUAGUAAGUCAGUGGUGAAAGCCCAUCGCUCAACGGUGGAACGGCCAUUGAUACUGCUAGACUUGAAUUAUUAGGAAGUAACUAGAAUAUGUAGUGUAGCGGUGAAAUGCUUAGAGAUUACAUGGAAUACCAAUUGCGAAGGCAGGUUACUACUAAUGGAUUGACGCUGAUGGACGAAAGCGUGGGUAGCGAACAGGAUUAGAUACCCUGGUAGUCCACGCUGUAAACGAUGGAUACUAGCUGUUGGGGGCAACUUCAGUGGCUAAGCGAAAGUGAUAAGUAUCCCACCUGGGGAGUACGAACGCAAGUUUGAAACUCAACGGAAUUGACGGGGGCCCGCACAAGCGGUGGAGCAUGUGGUUUAAUUCGAUGAUACGCGAG